RNAcentral lists this long non-coding RNA (7801 nucleotides) under Homo sapiens (human). Its description in RNAcentral is "HSALNT0404818". The record is from RNAcentral. Lineage: Eukaryota; Metazoa; Chordata; Mammalia; Primates; Hominidae.
GAUGCUGACGCAGAAUGGAGUUGAGGUGGGGGCAGCGCUGGACCCUAGGGCCCCUGCCUGCCUCCUGGGGAGCCCGGUGACCCAGGCAGCCCUGGUGAGGCCGCAGGAGUCUGGGCCCUAGCGACGCCCCCGGGCUCCCACAGGACGAAUGUAGACGUCCCAGCCGCGGCCCCUUUAAGAGGGGGUGGUGCUUCAGCCUGGCGCCAGGGACGCUGCCAGCAUGCAGGCCCCGACGGAAGCCGAGACUGCGCUUCGUGCGAGGCCCGGGCAGCAUCGGCGGCGUGGUCAGAGCGAGUCUCGGAGAAGAUGUGGUGGCUUCCGUUUGUUGGUGGAGGAGGUGGCAGGCCUCGGCGGGUAACCCAGAGAACACAGCCGAAGUGGAAUGUGGGGACGUCUGCGACACCGGGGACAGAGCAACUGUGGAUGAAGAGGGCUACAUCUGGUUCCUGGGGAGGAGUCAUGACACUAUCAAUGCCUCUGGGUGGUGAAGGCAUUGAUUGUCCUGACCCCACAGUUUCUGUCCCAUGACAAGGACCAGCUGACUAAGGAGCUGCAGCAGCAUGUAAAGUCAGUGACAGCCCCAUAAUGAAUACAACCAAUCAAGACAGAUAACGCCAAGUGCUGGAGAGGAGGUGGAGAAAUCGAAACCCUCAUACACUGCCAGUGGGAAUAUAAAAUGGUGCAGCCACUUUUUUGGAAGAUAGUAUGUCAGUUUCUUAAAAUGUUAAAAAUAAAACUGCUUUAAACCCAGCAACUUUACUUCUAGGUAUCUACCCAGGGAAAAUAAAAAUGUAUGUCGACACAAAGACUUGUAUGUGAAUAUUCACAACACCAUUCACAAGAAUCGAAAGGUGGAGACAACUCAAAUGCCCAUCUACUGACAAAGGGAUUAAAAUGUGGGAUAUACAAAGGAAUACUACUCAACAAUCAAAAGGAAGUUCUGAGGCACACUACCACAGUGGUCACCCUCAACAACACAAUGCUUCAUGAAAGAAGCCAGAUGCAAAACAACACACAUUGCAUGAUUCAGUUUAUAUGAAAUGUCCAGGACAGCCUCGUAUAGGGACAGAAAGCAGAUUACUGGUUGUCGAGGGCUGGGAAUAAGACUGAAAAGUGACUCUGAUAGGCACAAGUUUCUUUCUUGGGAUGACAAAAUGUUCUAAAACUAGAUUUCGGUGAUGGUUACAUAAUUCCAUAAAUAUACUAAAUAUACUAAAAAUCGUUGAAUUGGACCAGGCACAGUGGCUCACACCUGUAAUCCCAGCACUUUGGGAGGCCAAGGCAAGAGGAUCACUUGAGCCCAGGAGUUCAAGACCUGUCUGGGAAACAUAGAGACUCCAUCUCUACAAAUAGUUUUUUUAAAAUUAAACAGGUGUGGUGGCACAAGCCUGUAGUCUCAACUACUCAAGAAGCUGAGGCAGGAGGAUCACCUGAUCCCAGGAGGUUGAGGGUGCAGUGAGCCAUGAUAGCACCAUUAUGCUCCAGCCUUGGUAUCAGAGUGAGAUCUUGUCUCUCACACACACACACAAAAAUCAUUGAAUUGUACACUUAAAAUAGGUGAAUUUUAGUAUGUAAAUUAGACCUCUAUAAAGCUGUUAAUUUUCUUAAGGUUUUUUUUUUUUCUUUUUUCUUUUUUUUUUUUUUGAGACAGAGUUUUGCUCUUAUUUCCCAGGCUGGAGUGCAAUGGCACGAUCUCAGCUCACUGAAACCUUCGCCUCCCAGGUUCAAGCGAUUCUCCUGCCUCAGACUCCCAAGUAGCUGGGAUUACAGGCUCCUGCCAUGAAGCCCAGCUAAUUUUUUGUAUUUUUAGUACAGACAGGGUUUCACCAUGUUAGCCAGGCUGGUCUCGAACUCCUGACCUCAGGUGAUCCACACACCUCAGCCUCCCAAAGUGCUGGGAUUACAGGCGUGAGCCACUGCACCAGGCAAUUUUUUUAAGUUUUAAAAUUACAAUAUUUACCCCUAGCACCAAGAUUGUCUCAAAAUACCACUAAAAGAAAACAAGCCUUCCUGGAGAGAGUGCUGAUUCCAGGUCUAGGCCAGAAAUGUAUAAGAUAAGCCUGGAACACUGUCACUCUGGAUAGCAAGGAAUCUAUCAAAGAUUAGGAUGCUUUCAACACGUCUGAAGAGCCAAUCUGAAGGGACUCCUUCUAACCAAAGAUAGGACAUUUUAUACAUUAAUAAGGAUAAUAAUUGCAGUGGAUUGAAAUACAUCAAAUGUGUUUGAAUGUCUGCAUUCAUAAUGAUUCUUUAUAAAAAAUAAAAGUGGGUUGGCCAGCCACAAGGGCUCAUGCCUGUAAUCCCAGCACUUAGGGAGGCCAAGGCAGGAAGAUCACCCGAGGUCAGGAGUUCGCAACCAGCCUGGCCAACCUGGUGAAACCGCAUCUCUACUAAAAGUACAAAAUUAGCUGGGUGUAAUGGUGCAUGCCUGUAAUCCCAGCUACUCAGGAGGGUGAGGCAGGAGAAUCACUUGAACCCAGGAGGUGGAGGUUGCAGUAAGCCGAGACCUCGCCAUUGCGCUCCAGCCUGGGCAACAGAGCAAGACUCCAUCUCAAAAAAAAAGAAUAAAUAAAUAAAUAAAUGUGGGCUGGGGACAGUGGCUCAUGCCUUUGGGAGGCCGAGGCAGGAGAAUCACUUCAGCCCAGGAGUUCAAGACCAGCCUGGACAACACAGGGGGACCCUGUCUCUACAAAAAAUGUUUUAAAUUACUCAGGCUUAAGGGCCCAUGUCUGUGGUCCCAGGUACUCAGGAGGCUGAGAUGGGAGGAUUGCCUGAGCACAGAAGUUUGAGGCUGUGGUGGCAUGAUUGUCCCACUGCAUGCCAGCCUGAGCAACAGAGCUAGACCGUCCCUGUCUAAAUAAAUAAACAAAUAAAAGUAGUCACCAUCAAAGGAUAUAAAUGAAGCAGACCAUCAUUUUGAAAAAUGGUAAACAAAAAGAACAAAUCAAGCCACUAACUGGCCUUUUCUAUAUAAAUUGUACAACUGGGUAGCACAAUAAUUUAUAAGAAGCUGCAUCUCUUUUUUAUAUUUACUUUUUUUUCUUCAUGGAAGGCCCUUCUCAGGGUAGCAAUAUUUCUUUCUGGAAGUAUGGCAGCUCAUAAAUGAAGAAGGAAUGAUAUAACAAUACCAUCAUUGUUCAAUCCAUAAUUGAUCACUGGCUGUUAACAUUAUAAAAAAAAAAAGGUGGCCAGAGAGUACACACCUCCUGCUGGAAGAACUUAGCACAGUCUUUUUGCCUUGACCCCUCAAAUCCAACAUGAAUCUGAUCAAGCUUUCAGAUCAAACUACUAAUUUAUCAAAACUAGAACAAAGUGAAGAACAAGUUAAUCAACAUCACAAGGAUACAAUUAGCCAAAUUCAAACUACCAGAAAUAGCAUAAUGAGAAUACAGUUAGCAUAAUCCAAACUAUGGGGAAACUGCCUAAUUUAUUAAAUAAACUGCAAGAGACAAAAAAGAGAUCAAGUGGGGAAGCUUUCAGGAUCAAAAAAAAGCUAAGAUACGAAUGAAGCAAUCCAAAAGAGAGACUUUAUUUGGAUCCUGAUUCAAACAAACAAAAAAAAUAUGAAAUUACUGGAAAUUUGGAGCUAGCAGGGGAGUUGACAAUAUUAAAGAGCAAUGGUGUGGGAUGGUUGGUUGAACAUGGUAUUGGGAUUAUGUUUUUAAAAGAGUUCUUGUCACCAGGAAAGUGGUUCAUACCUGUAAUCUCAGUAUUUUGGGAGGCCGAGGCAGGAAGAUCAUUUGAAGCUGGGAAUUCUAGACCAGCCGGGCAACAUAGCAAGACCCUGUCUCUACUAAAAUAAAAAUUAAAAAUUAGCUGGGCAUGGGGGUGUGGGUCUAUAGUCCCAGCUACUUAGGAAGCUGAGGCAGGAGGGGUCAAGGCCACAGUGAGCCAUAAUCGUGCCACUGAAUUCCAGCCCGGGCGACAGAGGCCUUGUCUUGAAAGAACAAAACAAGAAUCCUUAUCUUUUACAGACAUAUACCAAGACAUUCAGGGAGGAAAUUAUAUGAUAUGUGGGAUUUGCUAUAAAAUAACGAGAGGAAGAGGAGAAGCAUGCAGGAGUGUACAUGAAACAAGAUUGGCCACGAGAUGACAAAUAUCUGAAUCCGCUGAUGAGUAGGUGAAAGCUCACUACGCUAGCCUCUUGUUUAAAAUGCUCCAGAAUAGAAAGUGUGUCUGAAAAUCCACUUCAUGGGUUUGUAGCAAGCAUUGAAUAAGAUCAUGUAUACAGAGUGCUUUAUAACCAUGGCUUACAGGUAGUCAGUACACAUUGUUUUUAGUUUUGUAUACUCCCCGUCCAUUAAUCACAUCCAAAAAAGGUAUGUUAUUCACACUAAGAGCUCUGGCCCAUGGACCUUUGUCCACUUGGUGGUAAUUUAUUGAAAUUUGGGGUUUAGAAUGAGGAAAUGCCAGCCUUCAGAGCCCCAGGCUUACUAUGCAACAGCAAAGCCAACAGUCCCAAAUGCCUUCCUAGCACACCUAGUAAGUAGGAUCACUUUCCUCUCACCUUGUAGGCAUACUUGAGUUCAUUCACUCAUUCAUUCACUAUUUUUCAUUCAUUUCUUAUGUGCCAGGUAUUGGGUGUUAGGAAUCCAUAAUACAGUGAACCCAUAAUUGACUGCAAGCAUCACUUUCAAAGCAUCAUUUCAGGAUGAGAAUUUAAGUGCCAAGUGAAUUCAAGGAACAGUGCAAAGGAUCCAUGGCCUCAGUCACCAUGAAGACCCUCCCAAGAGCCAGCCCUACUGGGCACAUAUAAAUGAGUGGAGACCUGGAAUUCACCCUUACAAAGCCUAGAACCUGACAGAGCACACAAGACAAAAGCCCAAAUAACCAAGAACAGGGAGCAGAAUGUGAGAGGUGGGCCCCAAAGGAUUCAGCCACCAAGGUGGAGAAAGUAAUGUGUGCAGAGUGGGGAGUAGUCAGGUUUGGCUGAAGCAAGCAGGCAUUUGGGGAGAGGUGGAAACUGAGGCUGGAAUGGUCUCCUAGGGCCCUGUAUGGAGAAGGUCAGGUUCAGGCAUCUGAAUCCCAUUCAGUAGCAAGAGAGUCACUCCAUGGUGCCAAGCAAGGGCUAACAGGCUUAGGACAAGAUUCAGGAAGAGGCCUCUUGCAGCAAGUGGUCAAGCCCAGGGACCACUCAUGGAAGGCCUAUCCCCGCCUGGCACUGCACCUUCAAGUUCACAUCACAUGGCCAUGUGCACAUUCAUACACAACCAUGUGCAUGUUCACACACAGUCAUAUGCAUGUUCACACAACCAUGUGCAUGUUCACACACGACCAUGUGCAUGUUUACACGUGGCCACAUGCAUGCUAAUGCACAAUCAUAUGCAUGUUCACACAUCACCAUGUGCACAUUGAAACAUGACCAUAUGCAUUUUCACAUGCUCAGUGACUCACAGAUUCAUAAGACCUGAGACGGACGUGCAUUUUGGGAGAUCCAACUUUAGGAUAUGGGCUCACUGUCUCAGCACAUGCAGACCAGGCCUGAACUCUAUUCAAGAAAGCUGCCUGCCAGUUUAUAGCAGGGGUUAGCAAACCUUUUCCAUGAAGAGCCAGUUAGGAAAUGUUUGAGGCUUUGCAGAACAUGUGGUCUCUUGCAACUACUCAACUCACUAAAGCAACAAUGGACAACACAUCCGUGAAGAAGCAUGGCCGUGUUCUGGUAAAACAAAACUUGGCUGCAGUUUGCCCAUGCCCAGCCUAGAGUUUGUAGCCUCUUCCCAGAGAGAGGGAAUCUGACAGAUUCCCAAAUCUGUCAGAGACUAGGAAGUCUCCUUCAGAAGGACACCCCUCCAAGCCUGAGGAUCCAUCCACCCACAGGAGGCCUGGCACAACUCAUUCCCCACUCAGCUUGGUGCAAGCUAACCCUAUCAGGCCCUGCCACUGUUAUCCUUGCUGACCACCCCCAGUGUCCUCUCAAGUGGAGGCUGCCUGCUUCUCAUGUCCUCCGCCACAGGGUCAGGCACUGCACCCACCCCUUCCAGCCCCACAGGAGCCCCUCUCCCCAGCCCUGGCCUGCUGCCACCCGACCCCCUCACCAGGGAGCCCCUGCACAUCCAGUUGAGCCCAGAUGGCAUUCCUUUAGGAAACCUCCUCGACACUCCGAAGUCCAGAUCGCAGGCCCCACCUGGAAUGCUCUCCUUGCAGCCUGUUCGAAGACUCAUGAGACCGUGCUGCACACUGGACUUCAACCAUGAGCUUCACCGUCUGUCUCUUCCUUCACUACCUUCGCUCUGCACUAGGCCAUAAGCUCUGUAGGAGAAGGAACUCAUCACAGUGCCUGCCCCAGACAGGUUGUUCAUAAGCACGUAUUGAAAUAUAGAAUUCCCAGGCACCUCCAACAGAGAGACUGGACCUUGUGAGACCCAACAAGAAGCCAGUAUUUCAGAACUGAUGAAAAAUAGCAAGGAUCUAGAUUAGGGGGUAUAGUGGGAAUGAAAUGGGGGACUGGGUGAUGCCCCAUAUUUGUCAACGACUCAUAGUCUUUCUCCAGAGAUGUCUUCCUCCCCUGUGUUCUUUGUCUCAUCAGCUGCCACCAGCACUCACUCCAGCCACUAAAGCCAGAAAGUUGAAAGACCUCUGCCCUCAUCCGGCCCAGCCCCCAUCCAGCCAAAGACCUGUCAUUUCAACCUCACGCCCACCCCGCUUUCCACUCCCACUGCUCCUGCCUUAGUUCAGACCACCACCGUCGCUCUCCUACCCAGUUCAAGCCAAGCUGACCUGGCCAGUGGCCUUCAGGCCUUCCCUUCUCCAUCCUGCCAUGUCCAUCCUCCACAGGCAGAACAGGAAGCUGUCAUGUAAAAGUGCAGGUCUGCUUUGGUCCUUCUCCUAAACCCUUCAGUGGCUUCCCGGUUCCCUUUGGGUCCUGGUACAGAUUCCUUAGCAUGGCCAGGGAGGACAGCCCUCCAUGAUCCUCCCCUCCCUGAGAUGUUCCUCCUGCCCCAGCACCCUGUGUUUGAGCCCAAGCCCGCCCUGUGGUGUCACGGGAGGCCCAGCUCCUCUGCCUGGGGUGCCUUGCCUGGCCUAGGAACUGGGAAAACUUACCUGCUUCCAAGACUCAGCUCUAGCACCUCUUCCUGCUGGGUGUUUUCCGAUGCCCCCCCUCUCGCCACCUCAUGGGGACCCCACAGUCCCCUGAAGAGCCUUCUGCCCCAGUGCCUCACCCCACUCUUUAGACCUGUUUCUGUUUCCAUGGCUGCCUUGCCUUCUUAGACCACGGGCUCCUGCAGAGCGGGACCCCAUAUCUCAGUCGGCUUUGCAUUCCCAGUGCCUGGCCGAAACUGAGGCUGGAAUGGUCUCCUAUUCCAUAAGCUCUCAAUAACCCUUGAAAAAUGACUGGAAUCCUGGACAGCGCCAAGGCAGCAACUGGGAUGGGAGAGUGAUCUGCUGCCCUCUCCUGGCAAUGUGAGGAAUUGUCCUAAGCACAGACAACUCCCUCCCUGCCUUGCACAAGUGCAGGAUGGGGGAAACUGGAAAAGGAGCUGAUGGAGGAUUGGGGAGGUGGAUGCUGUCUAAGGAGACAAACUGAAUUGAGGGGUUGCUGGGACUCGGCCGGCUCACAUGCUAUUCCCAUGUCAUGGGCCCAGGGGCCAAGUCAGUGCUUCCAAAGGAGGGUGCAUCCUGAGAGAGGCUCUGGCUCCCCCAACAAAACCCUAAACUCUUGAAGGACAUCUUCCUUCUCAGUAUACCCUAUUGCUGUGUUGUUGUAACUAUCACUGUAACUUUUAUUCACUUCAGUGGGCGAUCACUGAGUUUUUCCUCCAUUGUUGUAAAACAUGUGUUUUGCUCUUGUGUGUAAAAUGAC